This is a long non-coding RNA of Amblyraja radiata (thorny skate), 168 nucleotides long. RefSeq lists it as uncharacterized. The record is from RefSeq and is a predicted model, not a curated record. The transcript has 3 exons. NCBI's taxonomy places the organism in Eukaryota, Metazoa, Chordata, Chondrichthyes, Rajiformes, Rajidae.
UAAGAAAAAUAUGGAAAAAAAAAUUUGCUGAAAAAGAAGUCGAAGAUUCCAUCUGCACUUGACACUGUCUCGGAAAAGCCGCCAGCAUAAUCAAAGACUUGUCCCACCCCCGGUCAUUCGUUCUUCUCCCAGCUCCUGUCGGGCUGAAGCUGGAAAUUGCACACAAUA